CCUACGUGAGGCUGCAGUAGGGAAUCUUUCACAAUGGGCGAAAGCCUGCUGGAGCAACGCCGCGUGCAGGAUGAAGGCCUUCGGGUUGUAAACUGCUUUUAUAAGCGAGAUAUAUUAUGGUAACUUAUGAAUAAGGAUCGGCUAACUACGUGCCAGCAGACACGAUAAUACGUAGGGGGCAAGCGUGAUCCGGAUUUACUGGGAUUAAAGGGGGCGUAGACGGCUUUGCAAGUCUGAAGUGAAAGCCCGUGGCCCAACCGCGGAACUGCUUUGGAAACUGUAUAGCUUGAGUACUGUAGAGGCAGGCGGAAUUCCUAGUGUAGCGGUGAAAUGCGUAGAUAUUAGGAGGAACACCAGUGGCGAAGGCGGCCUGCUGGACAGAAACUGACGUUGAGGCUCGAAAGCGUGGGGAGCAAACAGGAUUAGAUACCCGAGUAGUG
This 440-nucleotide ribosomal RNA is filed under the name uncultured bacterium. RNAcentral's name for it is "partial 16S ribosomal RNA". It matches the Rfam family "Bacterial small subunit ribosomal RNA", at positions 338 to 795 of the family's 1533-position model. The record is from RNAcentral.